RNAcentral lists this ribosomal RNA (440 nucleotides) under uncultured bacterium. RNAcentral describes it as "partial 16S ribosomal RNA". It matches the Rfam family "Bacterial small subunit ribosomal RNA", at positions 338 to 795 of the family's 1533-position model. The record is from RNAcentral.
CCUACGGGAGGCAGCAGUGGGGAAUAUUGCACAAUGGGGGAAACCCUGAUGCAGCGACGCCGCGUGAGUGAAGAAGUAUCUCGGUACGUAAAGCUCUAUCAGCAGGAAAGAAAAUGACGGUACCUGACUAAGAAGCCCCGGCUAACUACGUGCCAGCAGCCGCGGUAAUACGUAGGGGGCAAGCGUUAUCCGGAUUUACUGGGUGUAAAGGGAGCGUAGACGGCGCUGCAAGUCCGGAGUGAAAGCCCAUGGCUGAACCAUGGUACUGCUCUGGAAACUGUAGAGCGUGAGUGCGGGAGGGGCAGGCGGAAUUCCUAGUGUAGCGGUGAAAUGCGUAGAUAUUAGGAGGAACACCGGCGGCGAAGGCGGCCUGCUGGACCGUAACUGACGUUGAGGCUUGAAAGCGUGGGGAGCAAACAGGAUUAGAUACCCCAGUAGUC